This is a long non-coding RNA of Chinchilla lanigera (long-tailed chinchilla), 1809 nucleotides long. RefSeq lists it as uncharacterized. The transcript is spliced from 2 exons. Lineage: Eukaryota; Metazoa; Chordata; Mammalia; Rodentia; Chinchillidae. The record is from RefSeq and is a predicted model, not a curated record.
CUGUUUAAGGCCACCCGUUUAAGUUUGGUAUAUGGGAGGUCAAAUACCCAUGUUUGGAGAUUUUGUACUGUCUGGAUUAUUUUCCAGGGCGUAAGAACUGUUUUCCAAUAUUGUCAUGUUGGAAGAGGCCCUAAGUGGGUAAACCUUGUCCCAGAAUAAAGUCAUUUUUCUUUUUGCAGAAAUAUCAAUAGUCAGGUAAACAAAUUUAUUAAAUCCAACAGCAGGUAAUAGUCCAAAUAAAAAAGACAUCAGAAGAAAAAAAUAAUGUAGACAUCAAAGACAAAUGUGUGGAACAAGUUAAUAAAAAUAUUCAAGGGGCCAUUUGGAGAGUGCAACAGUGCAGCGAAUACAAACCAAAGUAUUAACUUUUGCCAAGUUUGUACAACCUCAUGAAACAGACACACUGAUCACAAACUAAGAGGGAUCCACAAAGGUGGAGGGUCACAUGAGCAGUGGACUCAUCACCUCAGCGGCUUAAGGCAGGAUAAGUGUAGGACCAAUCCAUCCAAGCCCCAUUUGCCUAUUGCUUCAAAUUCCCUCUUUAAAACCUAGAAUCGUAUUCGUUAGUGCAACAGGUAAGAGCAGUUAACCACAGAAUAAGGGCCAAGGACCAAAGUCAAAGGGAAGACACUUCUUCCAGAGCAAAUAUAUGUUUUUAGGGGGUUCGGGGGGCAGCAGUUGCUGAAUGGCUUCCUUUGGCAAUAUCCAAGAUUUGAAGGUAGCAGGAAAGGAUGGUAGAUGGUAGAAGUAGGUACCCAUGAAAGCAGGCUGGCUUUUCCAAGAAAAGGAGAAUGUGAUACCCUAGCACCUGAAUAAGAAGCAGAACUUGAUGUUUUCUCAAAGCUAUUCCAACCCUCCUGGCUUUUCUGCAAACAGUGUUGAAGCAUCAGUUUACUUUUUCUUUUUAAAAGGGGGGAAAUCAUGCCAGUCCUAACAGACAUAUAGUCCCAGUUCAAGGCCAGAUAUGCUGUAAUUAAGCCUACAAGGGGAAUAGAAUCUAAAGGGGAAAUAGUGGGAUUCCCCUCUAUAUGACUCAGAAGAGACUGGAAAUAAGAGAAGGAUCAAUGUCAUGUUCUCAGACAAGUCCCAAUAAACACACUCCAAUAACUUUAAUAGUCCUUUCAGCCAUUUAAACAAAUACUGUCAGAGUCCUCCAAGGAAGACCUUUGUCAGUUACCAAGAUGUUCAAAUUCAAGUCUACCAAGGAAGACCUUUGUCAGUUAUCAAGAUAUUCAAGUCAUAACCCAAAUAUAAACAGACACAAGAAAAGCAGCAAAGCAAGCAACUAGAGGGGAAAAAACAAUACAAAGUAACAGCUAACCCUAACAGCAGCUUUCUCCAAGUCCUUAUUAAUUGUAUAGUUCAGUCUACUUCUGGGCUCUGCUGCACUGAAGACCUGAUAAAAUACAGCAAACCAAACAGUCCCAAAUAUAUGUUUGUAAACUUUUAGCCAAGUUUUUAUCCCAGUAACUUCCCACCAUUGUUAAGUACAAUUGGGCAUUAGUACACAGUAUAUGAAGCUAUCAAGCGAACUAUGGGGUCUCACUACCCUACAGCCUCCAGACCUGAGGACUACAUUUUGGUACCAGCCCCUGGGCCAUCAAUGCUAUUGCAGACUAAUACUGUAUGCCUUAAUCCUUCUUCCAAGGUGCACCCAUCUUUGAGAAGUUCAACAUGUUCCCGCCAGUUUGAACCACCAGUGGUACAUGUUUGAGUCUCAUCAGUUGUACAAGGAAACCAAUGGGACUGUCAUGUGUGUAUGGCCCUAUUGUAAACUUAAUAUUGAAAAUACUGCUUCAUACAUUUCAA